GGAGAGCACCGCUUCGGAAAUCCUGCAGGAUCUUCCCCCUCGCGUUUCUUUUCAGAGUUUACCUGAGCUAGGAACGUUAUCAUUAGGAUUAAUAGUAUUCCAUCAGUGCUUUUCACUAGCAGUUCCGUGAAACCCUUUCUCAUGCAGAAACGGACAGAGGCUUACUAAGAAUGCCUGACAUAACACACACUCCAAAUAAACCAGCAGGACCGGUCCCACUGCGUUGAAAACAUAGCCAGCGAUUUUUGCCUUGACGGGCUGGGAGAGGAAUGGUGGAAGGUCCUAGUAACACGGAGUUUUCCAGGGCGCUAUGCUUUGGAGGGUUAGCAAGGGGACACAGAAGUGGGUGAUGGGAUGCCAAAGGCGGCAGCAGCCCUCCUAGGUCCCACUUCCUUGUGAAAUCAUGCUGCCUGUGUUUAAGGCUAUUGCUUUCAGUCCCGAGUCCCCAGCGCCAAAACCUUACACUAUUGCUAGAUUUUACGGCAGUCCCUGGUCCCUUGGGGGAGGGGUCGCUCGGGUGCAUGAUUGACUGCCUGUGCCCUGUUUGCCUUGCAUUUGAUUCCUGCAGUUACAGAGCUAAAGUAGAGAAAUAGCUUUGCUGUGGAUUGCAUUGUCGUGCCAUUUUCGUAUCAGGAUACCGAUACCGCAUAAACUGAUCACCUGAUCACCGGAUCGAUUGGUGAAACCAGCCUAUAACAAGACAACUAGAGAAGCCAGUGGGAAUAGCAAAAGCCAGCAGGCUUCGACCCUUUGCACCUCCAGGCCCCUGAGGACUGCUGAUAAGAGGAGCCAUAGCCUUGCCCAGGGAGGAGCAUACCAGUUUCUUAUCUAGUAAUAAAGCCAAACUUUGGGCAGAGUGCUGGAAACCCUAUGGAAGAAGGGGGAGAUAAAAAGACCUAGAGGGGUCAGGAGCUUCACAAGGAGAACAACAGAGCCAAAAUACUUUUGUCCAAGGUGGCCUGCAGAGACUUACUCCACCUAACUAUGCAUGGAGAGGACCUAGACGCUCUGUUCAAAGGAAGCCCAUUGGCUGCUCCGUUUCCAAGUGGGAUUCCCUAGUAAGGCGGACAGGGGCUGUCUCUGACAUGAACUCAGUGGCUGGCUCUUUGAUCACCUCUGCCUGGGGUUGCAGUCUCGCCAGGCCACAGAGGAAGAUGAUGCAGCCAGCCUUGAUGAGGCCUGAGAAGUUAAGCUUACAUUUUAAAGAAAGCAAAAUAUAUGACUAUACCUAAAAUUCACACACACACAUACACACACAGCUACCACCAAUACAGACAUGAAGAACAUUUCUCAUCACCACCAAAAGUAGUCACCUGAUACCUAUUAUGAAUAAUAAUUUAUGUCCUAUGUGUAAAUAUUUACAUUUUUCUAUUGACGAUUCUUGAAAUUAAAUUAUGAACAUUUUCCCAUAGCCCUGUUGUGCUGAGAGUGAAGCCAGUCCCUGAAAGACUGAAGAUGAUUUCCCAAGGAGGCAUAGUCCUUAGCAGUGUUAGGCAAGCAUCCCCAUGCAUUGCAGCCUUUACAAUUUUCAUAGUGGUUAAUGUAUACUUGUUUAUUUGAUAAUUCAUAGUUUUUAAAAUUCUAAAUAAAUUUAUGUAAUUGUCUACAAAAAUCCCAUUUUCUUUAAACGUUUUAUGAAUUUAGUCUGUUUUAUCUGUAAUGUGUUUUUGCUAAGAUACAUUAUUAUUUUUAAUUUGUGAAUAGUAGUUGUACAUAUCCAUGUAUUGUAGCAAUAGGAAAUGUAUGAUUAUUGGAACAGAUUGAGGUAUCUAUCACAUCUUAACACAUCAUUUCUUUUCAUAGGGAACAUUCAAAAUUAACCUGAAUAUCUGUUAUAUAUUAAUUCGUUGCCAUUUGUAGUUAUCAUACUGGCAACAGAACAGCAGAAAAUGUUCCUCCAAUGCACUUGAUGUCCCACACCUCUGACCUGUGCUCUCUCUGUCCUCUGAGCCCUCCUCCUCCUCAUUGCCAGUUCUGGGAAGGCAUACUCCAGCCUGAACUUCUUUGACACCAACUUUGGACUGCACCUCCUCGUGAAAUCUGUCCCACCCUCCCUGCCUCUUCUCUAUAUAUGCCCCUCCCCAAGUCCACUGAUAGGGGAGGUCUUCCUCUGCUUUCUUCUGAUCCUAGUCUAUCAGGUCUCAUCAGGACUGGCUGCAUUGUCUUCCUCUGUGGCCUGGUAAGGCUGCUCCGCCAUCACAGGGAAGUGAUCAAAGAGCAGGCCAAUCAGUUCAUGUCAGAGACAGUCCCUGUUCCCAUAACUAUGGAGCCCACUUGGACACUGAACUGCCAUGGUCUACGUGUGAAGAAACUAAUCAAGAAGGAGGACUCUGGCUAAAACGCUCAAUCCCCAUUCAGAAAGGCUAAGAGGAUGGACAUCAGAAGAAGAAGAAAACAGGAAACAACCUCGGGACCUGCCACAGAGGGCCUCUGAAAGGCUCUACCCUGCAGGCUAUCAAAGCAGAUGCUGAAACUUAUGGCCAACCUUUGGGCAGAAUGCAGCAAAUCUUAUGAAAGAAAUGGGAAAUAAUAAGACCUGGGCAGGACAGGAGUUCCACAAGGAGAGCAACAGAACCAAAAAAUCUGGGCAGAGCGGUCACUUCUGAGACUGAUACUCCAACCAAGAACCACUGAUGGAGAUAACCUAAAAUAUAUAUUUUAAUUUACGUUUUAAAUUAUAUUUACAUAUAUAUAUAAUAUUGUUUAAAUUGAUUUUUAUGUUUUGACUUUGUGUCAUGUGAUCUUACUAAAUUUACUACAAAUUUUCACAAAGUUAUCAUUAUUAUCCUUGUUUUCUCUGUAAAUACGUUAUCUUUGAAUGAGUUUUGCUUCCUGCUUUUAUAUACGUAACAUUUCUUUAUAUUUCAGUUUUCUAGUUGAGCUAUUUAGGAUCUAUGCUACAUUUUAAUGCAAUAGCCAAUGAUAUUAGAUUGGUCAGCUAAAACCAAAUAUUGUUAGUUAUUAGGUCAAGACAUUUCUUAUUUAUGGUCAUCAAAUUACAGAAGUUUUAUUACUAGAGAUAAGACUAUUUCAUAAGAUGCUGAAUUUGCCCAAGUGAUUUUCUGCUUCUACAUAUAUACUCACAUAUCUUUCUUCUGUCCUAUUUUGUAAUCCUGAAUUUCAAAACCAAGGCCUUGAACGUCAUGCUAGACAAAUAUUCUGCUACUGAGCCAGAGUCCUGUCCUGACCUCUCUUGUCAAGGUGAUAGCACUGAUUGAUUUUUGAAUAUUAAACUGCUUCUACAUCUCUAGAAUAAGCAUUGAUGUAUGAUGGUAUAUCAUCAUUAUUUCACUUUGCUAAACUUUGGUUUGCUAAAAUUUAUGGACUAUUUUAUCUGUACAUUACCAAAUUCUUGGUUUGUAGUUUUAUUAAGUUCAGGAUAAUACCAUCUUAAUAAUAAUUAUUUGUUCCUCCUAGUCACUAACCAUAACCCAUUAUGAUGUUCUGCGUAUCAUAUGCUGUGUAUCAUUGAUUUUUCCUUAUGUUGUUAUUGAAAUGUCCUUGUAAUAACACUGUGGGCUUAUAUAGACAUCCUUUAAGUCAUUCCAUAUUAGAUUAAAUAAUGACAUGAAUAUCAUUUCAUAUUAGUUUUCUUUAUUUCUAUGGUUGACCAUCUGAUAGUUUAAAUUGUACUCAAAUUCAUGAAAUCUUCAGUAGGAAGGGCUUAGGGAAAUCUAAGAAACAGGUUCAUUAAAUCAAAAUCAUCUUUGAGCACAUAGUAAGUUUGAAGUUAGUGCCUAUCAUAACACUCUUUGUCACAAAAGGGGGAUAAAGAGAUAGAGAAAGAGAAAAAAAGAAAGAAAAGGAAAAAACAUGCUGAACUUGAUCACUCAAAGUCUUGAGCUACAGAAGAGGGUUUAUUGCCUAUAGAUGCUAACUGCUACCUUUUCGCAGUCACAGAAUUUGUGUUGUUAACAUUCAUACUGUAUUUUUAUUGUCUCAAAGCAUGAUAAACUCAGCUCUAAAAUGCUUUUAUAAUACUUUUUCUUCUUUGCCACUAUAGCCUUCAUAUUUUCCUUUCACUAUUUGUUUCAUAAAAUACACUCUGAUCCUUGUGCAUGUAACAAAAUGUGACUUACUGAUUGCCAAUCUCAGAGUUCUCUGUCAGUCUUGAUUCUGCUCAAUUUAACAGAGGCCUUGCACACAGUCAAUCACAAUGUUCUUGUCACUUGACUUCACGGGGUAGCAGCACUUUCUCAUCUUGCAUCUUAUUGUUCCAAUCAUCUUCUUUUGCCUGUGUGGCAAGGGAACUUCCUAAGAUUCCCAAUAUGCCACUUAGAGCACACAAUUAACAGCCAGGGUUGGUUGAAGCACUGUGGGGUCUCUUUUCUAUCUGCCGUGCCUCCAGAAUUUACAAUCUAUGCAGGUCUUUACCAUAAUGGAUGCAUGCAGAGCCUUCU
Long non-coding RNA from Meriones unguiculatus (Mongolian gerbil), 4400 nucleotides. RefSeq lists it as uncharacterized. The transcript has 4 exons. The record is from RefSeq and is a predicted model, not a curated record. NCBI's taxonomy places the organism in Eukaryota, Metazoa, Chordata, Mammalia, Rodentia, Muridae.